CCUACGGGAGGCAGCAGUGGGGAAUAUUGGACAAUGGGGGCAACCCUGAUCCAGCCAUGCCGCGUGUGUGAAGAAGGCCCUCGGGUUGUAAAGCACUUUCAGUGAGGAAGAACGCCUGGUGGUUAAUACCCAUCAGGAAAGACAUCACUCACAGAAGAAGCACCGGCUAACUCCGUGCCAGCAGCCGCGGUAAUACGGAGGGUGCGAGCGUUAAUCGGAAUUACUGGGCGUAAAGCGCGCGUAGGUGGCUUGAUAAGCCGGUUGUGAAAGCCCCGGGCUCAACCUGGGAACGGCAUCCGGAACUGUCAAGCUAGAGUGCAGGAGAGGAAGGUAGAAUUCCUGGUGUAGCGUUGAAAUGCGUAGAGAUCGGGAGGAAUACCAGUGGCGAAGGCGGCCUUCUGGACUGACACUGACACUGAGGUGCGAAAGCGUGGGUAGCAAACAGGAUUAGAUACCCUAGUAGUC
This 465-nucleotide ribosomal RNA is filed under the name Vreelandella stevensii. Its description in RNAcentral is "partial 16S ribosomal RNA". It matches the Rfam family "Bacterial small subunit ribosomal RNA", at positions 338 to 795 of the family's 1533-position model. Lineage: Bacteria; Pseudomonadati; Pseudomonadota; Gammaproteobacteria; Oceanospirillales; Halomonadaceae. The record is from RNAcentral.